RNAcentral lists this long non-coding RNA (665 nucleotides) under Lactuca sativa (garden lettuce). RNAcentral describes it as "long non-coding RNA (LSAT_LNC002776)". The record is from RNAcentral. Lineage: Eukaryota; Viridiplantae; Streptophyta; Magnoliopsida; Asterales; Asteraceae.
AGACCAAAUCAACUCUGAACUAUUUUAACACUUAAAUCACCAGUAACAUAGUUUCACAUUUUCAAUUGUGUAUCACCUAAAUGUUCUGGAAAGAAACACCCUGACCACUGCCAUCCAGGCUCAUCAAAACGAGUAGAAACCAGUGAUUCCCUGUUUUAUGUAACUACUACUUAUUAUUAUAUAAGCAUGUGAACGAACUGUGGUAAGAAAAAAUUACAAACACUGUACCUUGUUAUGUCUGUCCAAUGAAUAUGGGAGUGUUGUCCCACCUUCAAAUGGUAUAUAAAGUCAGACCCUUUCUGCCUAAAACAAAAGUCCUUACUGCAUGCAUUACUAAUAAGAUAUCUAGGCUGAAAAUUGAUAAUCCUUGUUCUUCCACAAAUAGCACUAGAUGCGACAGAUAUUAUAGAUGAGGAAUUGGUUGAUGAUCGGGGGACAAGGAUUGUAGUUGAACUAGUUGGUUGGACAAGGAAGAAUUGACUAGACCACAUGUAGUUUGAGGUACUUGCCACAUCAGAUUCAGAUUGGGAUCGACUAACUCUGACCAUGAUCUCACUCGAAGCAAUAUUAGGGUCAGAACAAAUAUGCAGAUUUCACGAGCCCUAGAGAAUGCAUCCAUCACCUUUUCCAUUGUCACAUAUAAUGGACCUACACAAAAACACACC